This 434-nucleotide ribosomal RNA is filed under the name Giardia lamblia ATCC 50803. RNAcentral describes it as "eukaryotic LSU rRNA". It matches the Rfam family "Eukaryotic large subunit ribosomal RNA", at positions 1855 to 2427 of the family's 3401-position model. Lineage: Eukaryota; Fornicata; Diplomonadida; Hexamitidae. The record is from RNAcentral.
CGCAGCAGGACUCCGGGGUCAGCAGCCUCUAGCGCGGGAGCGAACGCGGCUCAGGGAAGUCGGCAAGCCGGCUCCGUAACCUCGGGAAAAGGAGUGGCUCUGACGGCGCGCCGGGUCAGAACUGGAACGGACGCGGGGAUCCCGACUGUUUACUAGAAACACAGCGUCGCGAGGGCCGCACCCGGCGCUGGCGCGACGUGAUUUCUGCCCAGUGCCACGACCGUCACCGUGAAGCGAUCCGCCGAAGCCCUGGUAAACGGCGGGAGUAACUAUGACUCUCUUAAGGUAGCCAAAUGCCUCGUCGGGCAAUUUCCGACGUGCAUGAAUGGACCAACGAGGAUCCCACUGUCCCGAGCCGCGCCUCCGCGAGCCUCCAGCCUCGGGAACGGGCGAGGGCCGGCCAGCGGGGCAAGAAGACCCUUUUGAGCUUGACU